GUUGCUGGAAAUUGGACCCGGGGGCCGCCGCGAAGCCGGGGAAGGAGGGGCUUCCGCCGCAGGGGCGGUGAUCGACGGCGCGCCGACUGGUGGCGUCCUCCUGGAGGGGCAGAGCUCCGCCGCUGGAAGGGUGGUCGACGGUGCGCCGGCUGGUCGCGUCCUCCACUGUGGGGUGCGAGUCCUGCAGGAAGAACCGGUGGCCGGGCUCUCCGGCGCCGGCCCUCCGAUGCCUAAGUCAGAGGGGGCGAAUAUGUGGAGAGAGCGGGGAAGAGAGUAUGUGGAGAAGACAGAGAGAAUAUUUGGAUAAAAUCAAGAGGAUCAGUUUUCUCAAUUGUCUGUGUUGUUUACUUCUUUCCACCCGGUCUAGGAGGGUUCUCUCCGGCUUCGGGUUUUUCCUCCCGUUUUUGUCCCCCCUCCCUUUUUCCCUCCAGGUUUCCUUUUAUAGAAGGAUUUUUGUUACCUGGGAGGUGACAGGAGGUUUGUCCUGUUUUGUAAUAAUUGGGCACGAUUUGGCCCAUUAAUGGCGUGGUGGAAAAUAAGGUCGAAUCAGACCGGAACCAGGGAGUUGUCACGGUCGAUCGGACCUGUUGGGGUGGUUGAACCGCCGGCCGUGGUAGGCCUAGGGUCCGUGGAUGGUAAGUGCAUUUAUUACCGAGUGAUCCGGCGGUCAGGGAGAGCCAUACGCUUUGAUAGUUCAGUGAUCCGGAGAUCGCCUUGAGCCGUGUUCAUUAAAUGACUGAGUGCAUCGGAGACUCGAGGGGGUCUCAUGCAUUAAUGGCAGGUCGUGCCGAAUACCUGCGGAGAUCUUAUGCCUUGAUGGCUUGGAGAUAGCGGCAGGUUGUAGUGGAGUUGUCAG
This 856-nucleotide long non-coding RNA is filed under the name Phoenix dactylifera (date palm). Its description in RNAcentral is "long non-coding RNA (PDAC_LNC017470)". Lineage: Eukaryota; Viridiplantae; Streptophyta; Magnoliopsida; Arecales; Arecaceae. The record is from RNAcentral.